UCCCUGAUGGUCCAGUGGUUAAGGCUCAGCACUUCCAAUGCAGGGGGCAUGGGUUCAAUCCCUGGUCAGGGAA
Non-coding RNA from Bos taurus (domestic cattle), 73 nucleotides. NCBI's taxonomy places the organism in Eukaryota, Metazoa, Chordata, Mammalia, Artiodactyla, Bovidae. The record is from Rfam.